CGCCAACAAUGCCAUGAUGGAGAUGCUGGCCAAGGGAGGCGAGUAGCUGAGCUCGUGAACGCAAAUGCGCGCUCCCGACAAUAACCCGUUGACGCCUUCAUCCGGGAACUACCGCGAACUCGCUCUUCAACAUGGCGGCGUCAGCUAAGAAAAAGAACAAGAAGGGGAAGACCAUCACUCUCACCGACUUCUUGGCAGACCAAAGCGGCGGAGGCAGUGCACCGGCUCCCAGCUACCCUGCCAAGACCACUAGCUGGGCUGAUGAAACGGCUGACUUGGAUGGAGAUGUGUCAACUUCAUGGCACACAGAUGAGGAUUCGUUCCGGGGCCCGCCCAUUGACCGGUCCAGCCUGCCCACGGCACCCCGUUCAGCUCGUGAGCCCAAUAUCGACCGGUCCCGUCUGCCCCGCAGCCCACCGUACACCGCCUUUCUUGGCAACCUGCCCUAUGAUGUCACUGAAGAAUCCAUCAAAGACUUCUUCCGCGGCUUGGCAAUCAGUGCAGUGCGUCUGCCCCGUGAACCUAGCAACCAUGAAAGGUUGAAGGGUUUUGGCUAUGCAGAGUUUGAUGAUGUGGACUCUCUCCUGAGAGCCUUAAAUCUCAAUGAGGAGAACCUGGGAAACCGAAGGAUCCGUGUAGAUAUAGCAGACCAGUCGAAUGAUAAAGAGAGAGACGGUGGAAUGAUGGGAGGUCGAGACCGCGGUGGGAGAAUGGCGGACAUGGGCCCGGACAAGACAGACAGUGACUGGAGGGCUCGGCCCAGCGGAGAGGAGAGUGAUGAUGGGCCUCCCAGGAGAGACGAUGCCUUUGGAGAGAGAUCACGAGAUCGCUACGAGUCGGAUCGUUUCCGAGACGGUUCACGAAGGGACUAUGACGGUGGAAGAGAUCGCUACCGGGACCGCUACGAUGACAGAGACCGGCGAGAGUACGAUAGAGGCUAUGACUCUCGUGGUGGUGGUGGUAGUGGUGGUGGCGGAGGAGGCCGCCGUGCUUUUGGCAGCAGCUUCCGUCGAGAUUACGAUGAUAAUCGAGGUAGCAGUGACCGUUUCGGCGAUCGAGAUCGUUACGGGGAAAGGGAUCGUUACAGUGAGGAUCGAUACGAGCGGCGUGAUGAGAGGCGUGAGGACAACGCUCCCACGCAGCGGCCCAAGUUGAAUCUAAAGCCCCGCAGCGUGCCCAAGGAUGAGGAAGGCGGCAGUGCCGGCAGCGGUGGGUCUUCCCCAGCCGUUGCGCCGACCUCCAGCGGCAGGGCCUCCUCCAUCUUUGGUGAUGCCAAACCAGUUGACACGGCAGCCAAAGAACGGGCGGUUGAAGAGAGGCUGAAGAAACAGGAAGAAAGUUUCCAGAGGCAGUUGGACGAGGACAAGGGCCGGGGCCCUGACCGAAAGAUACGAGACAAAGACCCAAGCUGGCGAAAUGAGGAAAGUUACACAGAGAGAUCUCGUACAGGAAGUGAGUCCUCCCAGACAGGAAGUGGUUCUGGAAGAGCGUCACGGUGUCGGGACAACGAGCGUUCCGGGGAGAACGAGGUUUUCAGCGGAAGGGAAGAUGAGCCUUCAUCUCCCGCGCCCCCCUCACAGCCUCCCCCCACGAAGGAGCCGUUGAAGGUGAUGCCAGCACCUCCUCCCAAGGAAAACGCCUGGGCCAAGAGAAGUGCGGCCAACACCAGCCCUGCUGACGCUGAUGGGCGGUCCCCGGUCUCCCCUGUUGGUUCGGCUCCCCCCAAGUUCAGCUCCUCAAAUUCUGCAGAUGAGAGAGAAUCCGGAAAGGAUGAGAACAAGGCUGGCGGUGCUCACCGGGACCGGGGGCCCCCACGGGCUCGAGGUGGGCCUGCGGGGCCUGGAGCAGGGCGAGGAGAGGUUCCCAACAGAGACUGAAGAAAGGAGGCAGACAGAAAGGAUAACAGAAGAGAUCGAGAUGCCAGACCACCGCCAGAGCCAAAGAAAUACGAAGAAUCCCCAAUCCCUAAGUUCAGCUCAGCCAGUAAAUACGCCGCUUUGCUAAUGGACGGAGACGGCGACGACGUUGGGGAUGUGGAGUAGAGAAGACGGCAAAGAAGAGGAGCAAAUGAACACAAGAAUAAUAAUUUCACAUAGUUUAUAUUCUCAUGUGGAAGUAGCCCCCCCCCCCCUCCUCCUUCCCCGGGUGAUCAAACAGCCCAACCCACCUUCAAACCUGUCCUUUCCCUUCAUCUUCCUUCCCUUCCACUCAACUCUGAGGACUCUUUCAGGUUCAACACAGCCACCUACUGGACUUGGUUUUAAUUGGGUUGGGGAAAAAUAUGAGUGCUUAGCUCUGGAAAUGUGAUAAAGUUGGAAAAUUGUAAUAAAUAAAUGGAAAAAGUGGGGAAAAAUGAAUUUGUACAUUUGUGGAUCAAAGAUGCGAUGGAUUGAUCCUAGAUAUUGUAGCUAUAAUGGCACUGUCGUGGACUUUUAAAUUCUAAUCAAAUCGUUCACAUUGACUUGCGUACCUCCCACAAGGCAACAGCAGUUAAUUUUAUUAGUCAUUUGGAAAUUGUCCUGAGGUCUUCUCCCGCUAUAAUUAAUCACAAAUCAUGUCUUCCAGCACUGACUUUGAUUCUGAAACUACCCCAUGGACUGUAUGUAGUCCAUGUCCACUGUGCAACAUGUUUUGAUGCGUUUCACUCCGAAUGACACUAAACAGCCGCCUCGUGACUCCGCUCGAGUCUUUAAGUGCCAUUAUUGUUCUGCCCUUAUCAUUGUACAGACUUUGUUCUCUUUCUAUAACUUCUGAUGAAAUCAUCGCUUCAAUUCGUCUAUCUGCGCUCCUUUCUGGCCGUCUUCCCGUCGUCCUCUGCUGUUCACAAAUUCUUCUUCCUCAUGUGAGGGCUGCAGUGUGGGAGUCUGGUUUUCAUGACAUGACCUUUUUUCCCGCUUGCAAUAAAAAGGGGUACACAACA
This is an RNA transcript of Syngnathus typhle (broad-nosed pipefish), 2920 nucleotides long. It is a transcript of the gene named eukaryotic translation initiation factor 4Ba, with no coding region annotated. The record is from RefSeq and is a predicted model, not a curated record. Lineage: Eukaryota; Metazoa; Chordata; Actinopteri; Syngnathiformes; Syngnathidae. The transcript has 15 exons.